AGACCAGCCUCAGGGAGUGACUGACGAAAAACGAGGGAAGAAUAACACUACUUGUUAUCUGUAUCAUUUUUAAUGGUUACUUUUUCAAAACCAUGGUAUAUACAGUACAGUACCUCAAUAGGCUCUUCCCUCGAGACACAGCAAAACUGGAUCUGCUGACAGCACAUGGCAGGCUGAGUUCAUAUUUGUACACCCAGCGAUGAUAGGAGUAUGGUGACAGGGUCAAAAACAUGGUAGGAGCACAUCAUGCAGAUUCAACGGAGUGGAAGACUUAUAUCAGCAGCUCAGAUGAGCACAGUAGAGCACGUCAACUGGAUGCAUUCCUUCCUUUACCCUUUCAUUAAGUGGUCUGUGACAAUAAGCUGCAGCCAGUCUCCUGGUGAUGGCAUUAGGAAGCUGGUCCCACAGAUGUCCUGUUGGAUUCAAGUUGUUUACUUGAUACCAUGCCAUUGAUAUCCCAGCACUACGAUGCCUUGCACGGUCCUGCCUUAAACAUCAACACUUCUGGACUGGCUAAAGGACUUCGUCUGCACCGAAGACAAAACUGUGUUAAAGGUGAUUCUACCCCACGUCCUCACAGAUGGCGGCAGUGUGGCUUUCUCGGAAGAAUGAGAAGACAAGGUAUCGCAAUGUAUCACAACAUGGCUGUGGAAGAGGUUCAAUGAAUAGUGCUUUGAGAAUUGUGAAUAUUUGCGACAGGUCCCUGUGUAAUUUUAAAAGGAUUCAGUAAUUUUAGCAGUGUAGGACAUGCCUUUGAGUUCAGCAAUGAUUCUGGUGCUGGAGUAUUUUAACAAUCAUAUGCACAUCAGCACUACCACCCUGGCUGAGAACAUUGACACUUUGUUGCAUUCACUUAAUGACGCACAUUCAUUAACUGGUCUGAAGCAUGGAAAGGUCUUAUGUUAGGUUCAGUAAUUACUUUAGGACUGCCCUUUACAAAUACAACUUUAUUUAACCUACAUUACACUGACCAUUCCAGGAUCACGUUUGAAACACACAUGCCAAAGCCCACUGUUGCCCCUCAAUGGAUGUCCUUUCAUCCUCAUCAGCUACUUAAUACUGUUAAAUGAAUGAGCAUAGGCAGUGCCUCAUCUCUGGCAUGAUAAUAAUAACAAUUACUUUUUCUUUACCAAACAAUUAUUUGGUAUAAAAAGAUCAUUGUCUCCUUCUCUUUCUUGUUAUGAUAACUGGAAAAGUUGUAGCCGACCAUCUUUCUGGUCAGCUAGGGAAAUACUGGUUUUGGUUCUUUCCAGUCGGAACACUGAGUUGUGCUGAGACUGUAAUGAACUCCUCCGAUCAGCAGAUUAUGCUUUGAUGUCCACUUACUUUAUGGUAGAAUGAGAUCUUGUCGGAAGGUUUUAUACAGGUUUACUUCCUUCAAGAUAAAGGGUGAAAAAGACAAGAUGAUGCUGCAUUAUCUUCGAAGGAAUAAGUCUCCGCUGAACCCUGUUUCCAUCCAGGGUAAGAUCAUAGAGGGGGUGCAGU
This is a long non-coding RNA of Lepisosteus oculatus (spotted gar), 1485 nucleotides long. RefSeq lists it as uncharacterized. NCBI's taxonomy places the organism in Eukaryota, Metazoa, Chordata, Actinopteri, Semionotiformes, Lepisosteidae. The record is from RefSeq and is a predicted model, not a curated record.